GAAACCAACAGGGAUUGCCUCAGUAGCGGCGAGUGAAGCGGCAAGAGCUCAGAUUUGAAAUCGUGCUUUGCGGCACGAGUUGUAGAUUGCAGGUUGGAGUCUGUGUGGAAGGCGGUGUCCAAGUCCCUUGGAACAGGGCGCCCAGGAGGGUGAGAGCCCCGUGGGAUGCCGGCGGAAGCAGUGAGGCCCUUCUGACGAGUCGAGUUGUUUGGGAAUGCAGCUCCAAGCGGGUGGUAAAUUCCAUCUAAGGCUAAAUACUGGCGAGAGACCGAUAGCGAACAAGUACUGUGAAGGAAAGAUGAAAAGCACUUUGAAAAGAGAGUGAAACAGCACGUGAAAUUGUUGAAAGGGAAGGGUAUUGCGCCCGACAUGGGGAUUGCGCACCGCUGCCUCUCGUGGGCGGCGCUCUGGGCUUUCCCUGGGCCAGCAUCGGUUCUUGCUGCAGGAGAAGGGGUUCUGGAACGUGGCUCUUCGGAGUGUUAUAGCCAG
RNAcentral lists this ribosomal RNA (489 nucleotides) under Pichia kudriavzevii. RNAcentral describes it as "LSU rRNA". It matches the Rfam family "Eukaryotic large subunit ribosomal RNA", at positions 61 to 561 of the family's 3401-position model. Lineage: Eukaryota; Fungi; Ascomycota; Pichiomycetes; Pichiales; Pichiaceae. The record is from RNAcentral.